This 523-nucleotide ribosomal RNA is filed under the name Bathynomus doederleinii. Its description in RNAcentral is "partial 16S ribosomal RNA". It matches the Rfam family "Bacterial large subunit ribosomal RNA", at positions 1797 to 2612 of the family's 2925-position model. Lineage: Eukaryota; Metazoa; Arthropoda; Malacostraca; Isopoda; Cirolanidae. The record is from RNAcentral.
CGCCUGUUUAUCAAAAACAUCGUUUACUUAACUCUAGUAGAUAGAAUCUGCCCGCUGUUAUUUAUAAAAGGCCGCGGUAUCGCUGACCGUGCUAAGGUAGCAUAAUCACUCGCCUCUUAAUAGAAGGCUCGUAUAAAUGAUCUGACGGAAGGUAAACUGUCUCAGCUAUGUAAUAGAAUCUGACAUAAGGGUAAAAAGGCCCUUUCCCCCAAGGGGACGAUCAGACCCUAAAAACUUUAUCUACCUUUGCUCUUCCCCCUUUACCUUAAAAGAGUAGAAAUAGAUUUUGCUGGGGCGGCAUUUUUUAAUACAAAAACAAUCUUUCUUAAAACACCUUGUGUGACACUUAUAACAUGCCUUUAAGACUAAAGACCAGUUACUUUAGGGAUAACAGCGCAACCCCUUCUAGAGCCCCUAUCGACAAGCAGGAAAGCGACCUCGAUGUUGAAUUGAGACUCCCUAYUGGGCAGCCCCAGUAAAGGACAGGACUGUUCGUCCUAAGAUCCUCACAUGAUCUGAGUUC